This 497-nucleotide ribosomal RNA is filed under the name uncultured bacterium. Its description in RNAcentral is "partial 16S ribosomal RNA". It matches the Rfam family "Bacterial small subunit ribosomal RNA", at positions 28 to 507 of the family's 1533-position model. The record is from RNAcentral.
GACGAACGCUGGCGGCGUGCCUAAUACAUGCAAGUAGAACGCUGAAGAGAGGAGCUUGCUCUUCUUGGAUGAGUGGCGAACGGGUGAGUAACGCGUAGGUAACCUGCCUUGUAGCGGGGGAUAACUAUUGGAAACGAGAGCUAAUACCGCAUAACAAUGGAUGACACAUGUCACUUAAGUGAAAGGGGCAAUUGCUCCACUACAAGAUGGACCUGCGUUGUAUUAGCUAGUAGGUGAGGUAAUGGCUCACCUAGGCGAACAUACCUAGCCGACCUGGGAGGGUUGUCGGCCACCCUGGGACUGGGACACGGCCCAGACUCCUACGGGGGGCAGCCGUAGGGAAUCUUCGGCCAUAGGGGCAACCCUUACCGGGCAACGCCGCGUGAGUGAAGAAGGUUUUCGGAUCGUUAAGCUCUGUUGUAAGUCAAGAACGGGUGUUAGAGUGGAAAGUUCACACUGUGACGGUAGCUUACCAGAAAGGGACGGCUAACUACGUG